Molecule: ribosomal RNA, 500 nt
Filed under: uncultured bacterium
Lineage: Bacteria
Description: partial 16S ribosomal RNA
Rfam family: Bacterial small subunit ribosomal RNA
Source: RNAcentral
AUUGAACGCUGGCGGAAUGCUUUACACAUGCAAGUCGAACGGCAGCACGGACUUCGGUCUAGUGGCGAGUGGCGAACGGGUGAGUAAUGUAUCGGAACGUGCCCAGUCGUGGGGGAUAACGUAGUGAAAAUUACGCUAAUACCGCAUACGAUCUAUGGGUGAAAGCGGGGGAUCGCAAGACCUCGCGCGAUUGGAGCGGCCGAGAUCAGAUUAGGUAGUUGGUGGGGUAAAGGCCCACCAAGCCAACGAUCUGUAGCUGGUCUGAGAGGACGACCAGCCACACUGGAACUGAGACACGGUCCAGACUCCUACGGGAGGCAGCAGUGGGGAAUUUUGGACAAUGGGCGAAAGCCUGAUCCAGCCAUUCCGCGUGCAGGAUGAAGGCCCUCGGGUUGUAAACUGCUUUUGUACAGAACGAAAGGGUUUCUACUAAUACUAGGAGCUCAUGACGGUACUGUAAGAAUAAGCACCGGCUAACUACGUGCCAGCAGCCGCAGUAA